This 374-nucleotide ribosomal RNA is filed under the name uncultured bacterium. RNAcentral describes it as "bacterial SSU rRNA". It matches the Rfam family "Bacterial small subunit ribosomal RNA", at positions 524 to 898 of the family's 1533-position model. The record is from RNAcentral.
UACGAAGGGGGCUAGCGUUGCUCGGAAUCACUGGGCGUAAAGGGCGCGUAGGCGGCCGAUCAAGUCGGGGGUGAAAUCCCAGGGCUCAACCCUGGAAUUGCCUUCGAUACUGGUCGGCUCGAGAGUGGAAGAGGUAAGUGGAACUCCGAGUGUAGAGGUGAAAUUCGUAGAUAUUCGGAAGAACACCAGUGGCGAAGGCGGCUUACUGGUCCAUUUCUGACGCUGAGGCGCGAAAGCGUGGGGAGCAAACAGGAUUAGAUACCCUGGUAGUCCACGCCGUAAACGAUGGAUGCUAGCCGUUGGACAGCUUGCUGUUCAGUGGCGCAGCUAACGCUUUAAGCAUCCCGCCUGGGGAGUACGGUCGCAAGAUUAAA